GACGAACGCUGGCGGCGUGCUUAACACAUGCAAGUCGAACGGAAAGGCCCUGCUUUUGUGGGGUGCUCGAGUGGCGAACGGGUGAGUAACACGUGAGUAACCUGCCCUUGACUUUGGGAUAACUUCAGGAAACUGGGGCUAAUACCGGAUAGGAGCUCCUGCUGCAUGGUGGGGGUUGGAAAGUUUCGGCGGUUGGGGAUGGACUUGCGGCUUAUCAGCUUGUUGGUGGGGUAGUGGCUUACCAAGGCUUUGACAGGUAGCCGGCCUGAGAGGGUGACCGGCCACAUUGGGACUGAGAUACGGCCCAGACUCCUACGGGAGGCAGCAGUGGGGAAUAUUGCACAAUGGGCGGAAGCCUGAUGCAGCAACGCCGCGUGCGGGAUGACGGCCUUCGGGUUGUAAACCGCUUUCGCCUGUGACGAAGCGUGAGUGACGGUAAUGGGUAAAGAAGCACCGGCUAACUACGUG
This 468-nucleotide ribosomal RNA is filed under the name uncultured bacterium. Its description in RNAcentral is "partial 16S ribosomal RNA". It matches the Rfam family "Bacterial small subunit ribosomal RNA", at positions 28 to 507 of the family's 1533-position model. The record is from RNAcentral.